AAGGCGCGUCCUUGAGACCCACCGCUCCGUGACGCUGGGCGCUUGGGUGCAUCGGCGCCCCGAGA
Molecule: small nucleolar RNA, 65 nt
Organism: Trypanosoma cruzi strain CL Brener
Lineage: Eukaryota; Euglenozoa; Kinetoplastea; Trypanosomatida; Trypanosomatidae
Rfam family: Trypanosomatid snoRNA TB11Cs4H2
Source: Rfam